UCAAUCUUUCCCAGCAUCAGGGUCUUUUCCAGUGAGUCACUCUUCACAUCAGGUGGCCAAAGUAUUGGAGUUUCAGCUUCAGCAUCAGUCCUUCCAAUGAAUAUUCUGGACUGAUUUCCUUUAGGAUGGACUGGUUGGAUCUCUUUGC
Long non-coding RNA from Cervus elaphus (red deer), 148 nucleotides. RefSeq lists it as uncharacterized. The transcript is spliced from 3 exons. NCBI's taxonomy places the organism in Eukaryota, Metazoa, Chordata, Mammalia, Artiodactyla, Cervidae. The record is from RefSeq and is a predicted model, not a curated record.